AUGGCUGUCGUCAGCUCGUGUCGUGAGAUGUUGGGUUAAGUCCCGCAACGAGCGCAACCCUUGUCCCCAGUUGCUACGCAAGAGCACUCCGGGGAGACUGCCGGUGACAAACCGGAGGAAGGUGGGGAUGACGUCAAGUCCUCAUGGCCCUUAUGGGUAGGGCUUCACACGUCAUACAAUGGUCGGAACAGAGGGUUGCGAAGCCGCGAGGUGGAGCCAAUCCCAGAAAACCGAUCGUAGUCCGGAUUGCAGUCUGCAACUCGACUGCAUGAAGCUGGAAUCGCUAGUAAU
Molecule: ribosomal RNA, 291 nt
Filed under: Anophryoides haemophila
Lineage: Eukaryota; Ciliophora; Oligohymenophorea; Philasterida; Glauconematidae
Description: partial Bacterial small subunit ribosomal RNA
Rfam family: Bacterial small subunit ribosomal RNA
Source: RNAcentral